CUGUCAGCUGUUUAAACAGCUGUUGAACUUUCCAGACGCAGCAGUGCUCGUCACAUUUAUUCUCUUGUUUCUGAAAGUAGACUGUCUUACAUAUGUUACAGCGGACAUUCAUUGUGUAGGUCAGGGCGUGAAGUAAACUCAGUCCUAAACCUUUACUCGGAGUGCUUUAAAACUAGCGCGGUGCAGAAUUUCUGCUGCACACGAGGGAUUGUAGGGCACAAGUGUGUCGCACACAAUGACGUCACCAUCACCAGCCAAUCAGAAGCGCGCUCUGACAUAAACAGGAAGUCCUUCAUCCAUGUUCGAGUCGCAGGAAAAGCGGUUAAUGUUUGUUUUUAAACACUGUUAUAUAUUAAGUAGAGCGGCACCAAGUAAAAAGGCGCAGCAAGUAAACAGUCAGAUCUCGAAGUCGAUGUGUCGGAAGCAGUGAAUAUGGACGAGCCUAAGGAGCUGAGCGAGUUUGACAAGGGCCAGAUUGUGAUGGCUGUACGACUGGGUCAGAGCAUCUCCGAAACGGCGGGUCUCGUGGGCUGUUCCGAGACUGCAGUGCAAGAGACCAUGAACGAGAUUGGCCAGGACAAGGGUGCCGUCUCUAAUGAAGUAAAGGGCGGAGCGGAGAAGAGAGGAAGGGGGAGGGCCCGAAAGAAGCCAUAGGUAUUGCGAAGGACUUCGAGAGUUCCUGUAUGCCCAAGAAUUUAAUCACGUGAUUGUUAACUUGAAAGUUAAACAUGCAAACUGAGAUUAUAAAAAUACAGGCGUGUUCAAAUGUGAUUCUGCCUCCUGUCUGUCAGUCGCCAUCGCUGCCCCAUAACCGCCAAACAAACCCCUCCUACUUUUACACGUAGAGUAAUGUGAUGGAAAACGAACACUUGCUUGGUCAGUAUACGGUUAGGCCUGGGUUUAGAUUUCUUGGUGAGCCACACACACACACACACACACACACACACACACACACACACUAUUUGGUGAAGGAUCACCAUUUAUAAGAGCUUCAUGCCAUUCAAAUCCAGGCCUAAUGGUUAUUAUGGAAAAGAUGCUUUAUGCCAGGGGUGUCAAACAUACGGCAUGAUCAAGUUUCUAAUUCAGACCAACAAACCCUUCUCGUCCUGCUCAAAUGUUUACACCCCCUUGACUCUUAAUCUAUCGUGUUGCCUUCGUGAGCAUCAGCGAACGUUUGCACCUUUUGUAAUCGUCGUGUACGAGUCCGUCGGCCGUCCUCAGAGUGAAAAGAUGGAUCUCGACAUCAUAUAGCCGCUGUUGAAAGGGCUCAAAUAUGGAGAAGAUGAUGGAAAAGUAAAGAAUGUGCAGGACCUGGAAGAUUUUUCCGAAGAACAGCGGGCAGUUUAACUCCUCAGGACAAACGAGAGACUCGUGAAGAGCUCUCGCAGAACAUACACACAUCAUGUCGUGGAUCAUCCAGGUAACGACACACCGGAUUAAUAAUCGAGCGUGUGUAAACUUUUGAGCAGGUUCAUUUGUAUAAAUUCAGUUAUUAUUGUGUCUUGUGGACUAUAUGUAAACAUCUGUUAUGUGAAAUAGAUUAUUCAGGGCAGGACUAAAGAUGUUUUCUGUGACCCUAGUCCUGAAACUCUUCAGCAUCUGUUUCGUUUACGAGUUACAAUCUCGUAACGAAACAGAAAUUGAAGAAGAGAUGCUAUGAUCCAUUUCAGCCCCAUCGGAAACAACUCAACGAACUAUUACAUUAACUAUUAAUAUUACCAUGUUAUUAUAUACAGAGUGAAAUGUUCUGGGAUGUAAAUGGAUUUCGCAGACUAAUUCAAAAAGUAACAACUUUAUGGAGGGAAUGCUUGAAAUCUGUACAGACUUUUUAUAUUUGUUGAAACUUUUAAAAAAAAACAAAAAAAAAAACAAGUUUUUACCUCUAAUGUUGUUGUUUCUUUAUAUCUACUCUUUAUAUUUGAUAUUUUACCCUUUGUUGUUAAUAAAAAUAGAACAUAACUCACAGACUGCAUGAUUUGAGAUUAGUACUUAUGAAAGAGACCGCGAAAAAUGUACAAAAAAAAAAAAAAAGAAUAUUUUAUUUGCAGUUUCAUUAUAUUGUUGGCAAAGUAUUAUAGUCAUAGAUGUAAGGAGCUAAAUACUAAAACACCUUUGAUUUACAAAGCAUUGGAAAUCAUUCGUGUGCAAUAAGAGCCGGAGAUUUCCGGUGACUGUUGUGCCAUCUGGACAGCUACCGUUUUCUCCAUCAGGACAUGCACACAAACGACCCAUCUGUUAGUCACCCACAAUCCCCUGCGUUAAAAUCAGGCACAUAAAAGAUUGCCCCUUGAGCCAUCUGUGACUCCAAAAAAAAAAAAAAAGAAAAACUCUCGAAAAGAAUCGGCACA
Ictalurus punctatus (channel catfish) is the source of this 2348-nucleotide long non-coding RNA. NCBI's taxonomy places the organism in Eukaryota, Metazoa, Chordata, Actinopteri, Siluriformes, Ictaluridae. The record is from Ensembl.